This 392-nucleotide ribosomal RNA is filed under the name uncultured bacterium. RNAcentral's name for it is "partial 16S ribosomal RNA". It matches the Rfam family "Bacterial small subunit ribosomal RNA", at positions 523 to 918 of the family's 1533-position model. The record is from RNAcentral.
ACACGUAGGGGCCUGACGUUGUUCGGAAUCAUUGGGCGUAAAGGGCGCGCAGGCGGCCGUCCAAGUCCGGUGUUAAAUGGUCGGGCUCAACCCGAUCAUGCGCUGGAAACUGGGCGGCUUGAGUCCCGUAGGGGAUGCCGGAAUUCCAGGUGUAGGGGUGAAAUCUGUAGAUAUCUGGAAGAACACCGAUGGCGAAGGCAGGCAUCUGGCCGGAGACUGACGCUGAGGCGCGAAGGCGCGGGGAGCGAACAGGUUUAGAUACCCUGGUAGUCCGCGCAGUAAACGAUGCGCACCAGGUGUCGGGCGGCAGCGCCCGGUACCGGAGCUAACGCGAUGAGUGCGCCGCCUGGGGAGUAUGCUCGCAAGGGUGAAACUCAAAGGAAUUGACGGGG